UCUCAUUUUUUAAGGUUUACUCUGGCAGUACCUUUUAAUAUAAAACUUUGCAAUAUGUAUUGAAACUUAAAAUGUCAAUUUAAAUUGAAAAUACUUGGGGUAUUCUAAAACAUGUACUUAUAACUUCACAGCACAAUGAUAAAUGUGCACAAAAAUGCCUUUUAAUACCAAAUGUUUAUCUAAAUAAUGAUUGUCAUAAAAAAAUAAAUUACCCAACUCUUGAUGAGAUUGUUUCAUGUUGCAGUUAAUAUUUUCCUUAGAGGGAAAUGUUAUCUUGGAUAAUAAAUCAGUUUUUCACAGCCAAAUAUUCAAACCUUAAAUUAAACAACAUCAAAUUGUUCAGUUUGAGACUGGUAAAUUGUUCAUGUUAAGGAGUUAAUGCAAUCUAAUAUAUUUACUAAUUAAGUAAGAUACAUUUUACAUUAUAAAUACUAAAACAAUAAGCAUAAUGAACAUUAAAAACUGUAGAAAUCAUCAUUCAUUUUAAAGACAGUAAUUAUUUAUCUUUUAUUUUCUAUUUUUGUUCAAACAUCUAAUUAUCAUUGGCCACAGAAACGGUGACCAAUCACUGAAAUGCUUUUACAGGACAUUUUUAUGCUCCUGUCUAAGGAUCUAUUUUGCAGCUGUACAGUAAUUAAGAGACUGGUUUUCUUAAACACUAAUGUACAGGGUUUAUGUGUGCAACCUUUCAAAUGCAUUACGAAAACAUAUAUAGGGGGUUAAACUGUUGAUCAGUUGCAGUUCUUUGUCUUAGCUUUGAAAAAUGUCGAACAUCAAAGACUGGAGCAACAGUGAAGCCCUGGUUUUGUGCCAAUUUGCCCAUCAGAAAUUUAACCCAUACUUUCACUUCCCUAAUCUUCAGUUUCAUCUAUGAGAAAAAAUUUCACUGCUAGAGCUCCUUUUUUAGAGUUGUUAAAAAAAUGUAUAAAUAAGAGUAUUGGGGUUAGGAGUUCAAGGCUGGCAGUGGUUACUUUUUUUCUGUAAUACAUACGUCGAGUUUUCUGAGGGAUUUUUAGAUAGUAGGCUCAAAAUUAUUCCUACCACUGGCAGAUUUAGUUUCAAAGUAUUAUUUUAAGUAUAACGACAUGUUUCUUCUGACUAGAAGUAACAUUAGCCCCUAUUCCAUUGGUUUUAGAAAGCCCCACGGUUUAGGACAUGUUUCAAUACAAAUUUACCUGGAUAAUUUCACUUUCCCGAGGAUUUACUUUCACGGGUAAAAGGUCCUGGUCUGGAGUGGAUCUUUACAGAUUUCCCCGAGAUUGUAAAUAGGGUGGAGUUGUGUGCAGCGAGGCAUUGCACCAGCAGCUGCAAUAAUGGUGGCGACGUUUCUGGAGCAGUGGAACUCCGCUUACAUGCUGGUCUAGCUGCUAAGGUAAGCUAACGGAGAGGUUGGACUGGGACUUUCCCACUGCUGCCUGAACGCAGCCCGGCAUUCUGGGACUUCCCGUUAUCUGUUAUCUGUCUGUGACGACUGAAAGUGAACAUCAAGCCUUUAGCAGGUAUUUGGUAAAUAACUGCAAGUAAAGGGAAUAUAAAAUAUAAUAUUAUUCACCAAAAAAUGUUGACACUUUAAGGGAAUUAAUUAUAAACUGUUUUGUCACGGUUCUGUAGGAAAAAUAUUUUAAUGCACUACUGAUAAUCAAAAAGAGCACUUUAAAUUUUCAUUGUACAUAAAAUAUAUACAUUUUAAGAUUGUCUUUUCAUGUACACCUAACUUGGUUGAGUAUGAACUCUUUAUUACCUUUAUCAUGCGUUUGCCUGAUGAUAA
Girardinichthys multiradiatus is the source of this 1768-nucleotide long non-coding RNA. RefSeq lists it as uncharacterized. NCBI's taxonomy places the organism in Eukaryota, Metazoa, Chordata, Actinopteri, Cyprinodontiformes, Goodeidae. The record is from RefSeq and is a predicted model, not a curated record. The transcript is spliced from 2 exons.